AAAAAAGCAGGGGCCUUGUUGCCUUCGUGAGCGGGCCUCCCGUAAACUUCAGGGAAAUCGUUUCCAUCAUUAUUGGGUGAACCUCUGUUAAUUUUUGUAACACAAGGUUCAGUAAAUGAUGGUACAUUA
Small nucleolar RNA from Telopea speciosissima, 129 nucleotides. RefSeq annotates it as small nucleolar RNA snoR74. The record is from RefSeq and is a predicted model, not a curated record. Lineage: Eukaryota; Viridiplantae; Streptophyta; Magnoliopsida; Proteales; Proteaceae. The transcript has a single exon.